CCUACGGGAGGCAGCAGUGAGGAAUAUUGGUCAAUGGGCGGAAGCCUGAACCAGCCAAGUAGCGUGCAGGAUGACGGCCCUACGGGUUGUAAACUGCUUUUAUACGGGAAUAAAGAGCCUUACGUGUAGGGCUUUGCAUGUACCGUAUGAAUAAGGACCGGCUAAUUCCGUGCCAGCAGCCGCGGUAAUACGGAAGUUCCGGGCGUUAUCCGGAUUUAUUGGGUUUAAAGGGAGCGUAGGCCGCAUGUCAAGCGUGCUGUGAAAUGUCCGGGCUCAACCCGGGCAUUGCAGCGCGAACUGGUGUGCUUGAGUCCGCUGAGAGCAGGCGGAAUUCGUCGUGUAGCGGUGAAAUGCUUAGAUAUGACGAAGAACCCCGAUUGCGAAGGCAGCUUGCUGCAGCGGAACUGACGCUGAUGCUCGAAAGCGCGGGUAUCGAACAGGAUUAGAUACCCCAGUAGUC
Molecule: ribosomal RNA, 460 nt
Filed under: uncultured bacterium
Lineage: Bacteria
Description: partial 16S ribosomal RNA
Rfam family: Bacterial small subunit ribosomal RNA
Source: RNAcentral